This 253-nucleotide ribosomal RNA is filed under the name uncultured bacterium. RNAcentral's name for it is "partial 16S ribosomal RNA". It matches the Rfam family "Bacterial small subunit ribosomal RNA", at positions 524 to 776 of the family's 1533-position model. The record is from RNAcentral.
UACGGGGGGAGCUAGCGUUGUUCGGAUAUACUGGGCGUAAAGCGCACGUAGGCGGCGUCGUAAGUCAGGGGUGAAAUCCCGGAGCUCAACUCCGGAACUGCCCUUGAAACUGCAAUGCUAGAAUCUUGGAGAGGCGAGUGGAAUUCCGAGUGUAGAGGUGAAAUUCGUAGAUAUUCGGAAGAACACCAGUGGCGAAGGCGACUCGCUGGACAAGUAUUGACGCUGAGGUGCGAAAGCGUGGGGAGCAAACAGG